CCAUAGGUGGCUGAGACGGUACAGCGUCUGCCUACAAUGCGGGAGACCCAGGUUCGAUGCCUGGGUUGGGAA
This 72-nucleotide transfer RNA is filed under the name Ovis aries (sheep). It matches the Rfam family "tRNA". Rfam says of the family: Transfer RNA (tRNA) molecules are approximately 80 nucleotides in length. Their secondary structure includes four short double-helical elements and three loops (D, anti-codon, and T loops). Further hydrogen bonds mediate the characteristic L-shaped molecular structure. tRNAs have two regions of fundamental functional importance: the anti-codon, which is responsible for specific mRNA codon recognition, and the 3' end, to which the tRNAs corresponding amino acid is attached (by aminoacyl-tRNA synthetases). tRNAs cope with the degeneracy of the genetic code in two manners: having more than one tRNA (with a specific anti-codon) for a particular amino acid; and 'wobble' base-pairing, i.e. permitting non-standard base-pairing at the 3rd anti-codon position. The record is from Rfam by way of RNAcentral. Lineage: Eukaryota; Metazoa; Chordata; Mammalia; Artiodactyla; Bovidae.